CCCACUGCUAUCGAGGUGGGACUAAGCCAUGCUAGUCGAACGCACAGAACUAUGUCUGUGAGUGGCAUACUGCUCAGUAACACGUAGCUAACCUACCCUUCGGACGAGGACAACCCCGAGAAAUUGGGGCUAAUCCUCGAUAGAUGUGAUGUCCUGGAAUGGUAUUACGUCUAAAGGUAUAUCAUACAUGUUUGAUAUACGCCUAAGGAUGGGGCUGCGGCUGAUCAGGCAGUUGGUGAGGUAAUGGCUCACCAAACCAUUGACCAGUACGGGCCAUGAGAGUGGUAGCCCGGAGAUGGACACUGAGACAAGGGUCCAGGCCCUACGGGGCGCAGCAGGCGCGAAACCUCCUCAAUGCACUAACGUGCGAAGGGGUUACCUCGAGUGCUAUCUGAAGAAGGUGGCUUUUCCAGGGUCUAAAAAGCCUAGGGAAUAAGAGGGGGGCAAGACUGGUGUCAGCCGCCGCGGUAACACCAGCCCCUCGAGUGGUGGGGAUGAUUAUUUGGCCUAAAGCGUCCGUAGCCGGCCGGAUAAGUUUCCCGUUAAAUCCAAUGUCUCAAGCAUUGGACUGCGGGAAAUACUGUCUGGCUAGAGAGUGGGAAAGGUUAGCGGUAUUCUGGGGGUAGGGGCGAAAUCCUUUGAUCCCCGGAGGACCA
RNAcentral lists this ribosomal RNA (656 nucleotides) under uncultured crenarchaeote. Its description in RNAcentral is "bacterial SSU rRNA". It matches the Rfam family "Archaeal small subunit ribosomal RNA", at positions 23 to 659 of the family's 1478-position model. Lineage: Archaea; Thermoproteati; Thermoproteota. The record is from RNAcentral.